CAUCUCUGCUCUAUAGUAUGGAAAGAUGUUUUCUUCAGAGCCAGAUAAUUCUUUAUAAAGGUCUCUCCUAUUACAUCUCUGCUCUAUAGUAUGGAAAGAUGUUUUCUUCAGAGCCAGAUAAUUCUUUAUAAAGGUAUCUCCUAUUCUUUUCCUUCUCUUUUCCUUCUCUUGCCUUUGCUCACUAGACGAACCCAGCCUAAGCCGUAACUGUUAUAACAUCGCCACCUUUGCUGCUUUUUCAGUGGUUGGACAUUAUACAAAGAAAGAUUGACGAACACAAAGAGAAUAAAGUAUAGUAAAAGAAUGCACGUAUCCAAGAUAACUAGGCUUUCUAUCUAACUAAUUUUGUAACAGUGCUCCGUAGCACCGAUACAUUUUACCUUUUCUCUGCUACCAGAUAAACGUUUUUGUUUCUUAACAAGAACGCUUUAUUAAUUUGUUUUACUGGUUUGUUUUACUGACAUCUUUUUCAUUUCUUUUUGGCGCUUCCUCUACUCUUUCCUGUACUACAAGGCCCUCUUUUGCCACCUCGUGCUUUUGCUUCUCUCGCCCACAGCCCACUCAAAGAUGUACCAUAAGGCGCCCAUUGGACAAAUCAAACCACAGCCGCAGCUGACAUAGCACUGGCGCUUUUGCCUCUCUUUCAAAAUAAGGUCGACGAGCCUAAACAUACCAAAGUAUAGGAGAUUAAUUGCCGAAUACAAGAAGAAAAUACCUAAUAUUAACAUAAAAGGUAUUUAAAA
RNAcentral lists this long non-coding RNA (743 nucleotides) under Penaeus japonicus. RNAcentral describes it as "uncharacterized LOC122245243". Lineage: Eukaryota; Metazoa; Arthropoda; Malacostraca; Decapoda; Penaeidae. The record is from RNAcentral.